UGCUCUCUCUUUCUGGAGGAGGUGGACAGAAAGGAGAAGGAUGACAGGGAAUUUCUUCCUGAGGCUCCUUCCCUACUCUGAAAAACCUGCCUGAAACUGUAGCUGUAUUUUGUGUGCCACCAGAAAGGUCAUAUUUUUCAGUUGGUUUUGCUCAUUUGGUAUAAGAAUGUUAGAACUCGGAUUCAGAGACUAGAAGAGAAAAGGCUUUGGAGCAGGGUAUGUAUUAGGGUAUUGGAAGGAAAUCAGGGUCACUAGGCAGGGAUACUAGACCUGAAUCAGAAUUGAACAUGCCCUGCGAACUAUUCUCCUAAUCUUUGUUCACUUCAAUCAAGUGGUUUUUGACCAGGUUGGAGUAAAGGUAGCCGCCGGGCUGGUAUCGGGGCCCGGAAUGACACUCACCUCACCAGGAUGGCCACCCCCACGUCCUCGCAGUUGGCAUAUAGCCGGGCCCACGUAUCCUGAACCGCCUUCCUCUCGGUCUCGGACAGCUCCUCGUUCCGCUCCCUCCGCUCUAUCUCCAUCUCACCCGGCACUUUCUCCAUCAGCAGUAGGGAUAGGGAAAGCGGCGGCACUGCUGCAAAGAGCGAAGACUCCCCCGGCCACCCGGGAACCGAGCUCAAGCCCUGGCUCUCCCUCUGCUUGAGGAGUCUGCUGCUUGUGGGAGAAGUAGUCAAUCUUAAAGAUGCACACCACUGGAUGCAUACUUUCUGUUGUUCUUUGCCCUUCAUAUGGACUACUUUUCAUGAGCCCAGAUGUUGGAAAUGAGGAAACUGCUGAAAUUCUCAAGUCUUUAGAACAGAUUCCCUUUCCUCAGAAACUGUCAACAAUUUGAUAAGACAAGGUGGGAGCUACCCAGAGCUCUGUGGGGAUUUCAGACCCAACCCUGAGGUCAAAGAAUCAGUGUUGUUAUCAGACAGAGUUGGAGGAGAUAAGAUCCCAGAGCAUCCAAGCAUCUUUGGGGUCUUCAACACCAUGAGUAUUAUCCACUGAGUAAGUGAGGGUUGGGAUUUAUUUGGCCAAGGGUAUUUAUUUGUCUGCUUGAGAGCAAUAUUAAACCUCAUUUUUCUGUCCAGAGUAGUGCUGAUUACAAUUUAACAUGGUUGUCACUCACUUCAGAUAGCAUCUUCUCCCUCCAGUCCUCAUAGCUCACUCUGACUUUAGCUGUUUUGCUAAGAUGAACUGUGAGAAGAAAUGCCUGAAGCAUCUGUGACAUGUUUGCCUGAAACUGAAUGAGGACAGCUAACAAAUACCUUUUCUGAGUGUAAUCUGUCUAGGAAUGUGAAUGCUAAAAGGUGUAUGUAUUAGGGGAAGUGGAUGAUAAAAGGUGUGUGUGUUGGAAGCAUAAUAUAUUCUGUGAAGUA
Molecule: long non-coding RNA, 1361 nt
Organism: Monodelphis domestica (gray short-tailed opossum)
Lineage: Eukaryota; Metazoa; Chordata; Mammalia; Didelphimorphia; Didelphidae
Source: RefSeq, a predicted model, not a curated record